GACGAACGCUGGCGGCGUGCUUAACACAUGCAAGUCGAACGGAAAGGCCUGCUUUCCCUUGUGGAUUGCGGGUACUCGCGUGGCGAACGGGUGAGUAACACGUGAGUGAUCUGCCCCCAACUUGGGUAUAAGCCUGGGAAACUGGGUCUAAUUCCCGAUAGGACUGCAGGGUGGUGCCCGUGGUGGAAAACGAUUUUCUAGUGGUUGGGGAUGAGCUCGCGGCCUAUCAGCUUGUUGGUGGGGUAAUGGCCUACCAAGGCGGCGACGGGUAGCCGGCCUGAGAGGGUGGACGGCCACAUUGGGACUGAGAUACGGCCCAGACUCCUACGGGAGGCAGCAGUGGGGAAUAUUGCACAAUGGGCGGAAGCCUGAUGCAGCGACGCCGCGUGGGGGAUGACGGCCUUCGGGUUGUAAACUCCUUUCGACCGCGAGGAAGCCACCUGGUUGGAAGGGUGGUGACGGUAGUGGUAGAAGAAGCACCGGCUAACUACGUG
RNAcentral lists this ribosomal RNA (494 nucleotides) under uncultured bacterium. RNAcentral's name for it is "partial 16S ribosomal RNA". It matches the Rfam family "Bacterial small subunit ribosomal RNA", at positions 28 to 507 of the family's 1533-position model. The record is from RNAcentral.